UUUACUUCUAUGGUAUUUCGUUAUUUUCUCUCAUUUUCCUACUUCUAAGUUACAUUCUUCAUCACUCCUCUCUCCCGCCAAACAUACAGACUUUUCUCAUCAACCAAACACUUUUCCUCUCAUCUUUUUUUUUUCAUCCAAAACUACAUUUCAAUUCAUAUUGGUUUAACCCUGACUUAAGGGAGAUCUUUUAAGGCAUGGAUUUUGUAGAUUCAAAGAGGAAGAACAACUUUUCUGUCAGGAUCUUUUUGGCUGCUUUCCUUAUUAGUCUUUCAAUUUUCUGGUUCAAGCAGUCACCAAUUUUUAGUUCUCCCAACUUGUUCUCUAAACCAGAAGCUGGAGUAACACAUGUGCUGGUAACUGGUGGAGCUAGCUAUAUAGGUUCUCAUGCUUCACUAAGGUUGUUAAAGGACUCAUACCGUGUAACCAUAGUGG
Long non-coding RNA from Humulus lupulus (European hop), 435 nucleotides. RefSeq lists it as uncharacterized. The transcript is spliced from 3 exons. The record is from RefSeq and is a predicted model, not a curated record. Lineage: Eukaryota; Viridiplantae; Streptophyta; Magnoliopsida; Rosales; Cannabaceae.